AAGCGAAACUGCGAAGUGGAGCAAAACUCUAAAAAACAANCUCAGUUCAGAUUGCAGGCUGCAACUCGCCUGCAUGAAGUCGGAAUUGCUAGUAAUCGUAGGUCAGCAUACUACGGUGAAUACGUUCCCGGGCCUUGUACACACCGCCCGUCAAACCAUGAGAGUUGGCAACACCCGAAGUCGGUAGUCUAACCGCAAGGAGGACGCCGCCGAAGGUGGGGUUGAUGAUUAGGGUUAAGUCGUAACAAGGUAAC
This 254-nucleotide ribosomal RNA is filed under the name uncultured bacterium. Its description in RNAcentral is "partial 16S ribosomal RNA". It matches the Rfam family "Bacterial small subunit ribosomal RNA", at positions 1247 to 1500 of the family's 1533-position model. The record is from RNAcentral.